RNAcentral lists this ribosomal RNA (500 nucleotides) under uncultured bacterium. RNAcentral describes it as "partial 16S ribosomal RNA". It matches the Rfam family "Bacterial small subunit ribosomal RNA", at positions 30 to 523 of the family's 1533-position model. The record is from RNAcentral.
AUUGAACGCUGGCGGCAUGCCUUACACAUGCAAGUCGAACGGCAGCGGGGACUUCGGUCCGCCGGCGAGUGGCGAACGGGUGAGUAAUGUAUCGGAACGUACCAUUGAGUGGGGGAUAACGUAGCGAAAGUUACGCUAAUACCGCAUAUUCUCUCCGGAGGAAAGCAGGGGACCGCAAGGCCUUGCGCUCUUUGAGCGGCCGAUAUCAGAUUAGCUAGUUGGUGAGGUAAAGGCUCACCAAGGCGACGAUCUGUAGCGGGUCUGAGAGGAUGAUCCGCCACACUGGAACUGAGACACGGUCCAGACUCCUACGGGAGGCAGCAGUGGGGAACUUUGGACAAUGGGGGCAACCCUGAUCCAGCCAUGCCGCGUGAGUGAAGAAGGCCUUCGGGUUGUAAAGCUCUUUCGGCCGGGAAAAAAUCGCAUGGGCUAAUAUCCUGUGUGGAUGAUGGUACCGGAAUAAGAAGCACCGGCUAACUACGUACCAGCCGCCGCGGUAA